RNAcentral lists this small RNA (159 nucleotides) under bovine gut metagenome. Its description in RNAcentral is "Clostridiales-1 RNA". It matches the Rfam family "Clostridiales-1 RNA". The record is from RNAcentral.
AGGGGAAUGAUACCGAGAAUCGAACCAUGCUUGCAUGGGUGAGAUUCUCAGUAUCAAUGACCCGCAAAAACAUGAGCAAGAGUGAUUUUUGAAAAAAAUCACAGGAUUGCGAAUGUUUUUAGGAUUGCGAAAAUUGCGUAGCAAUGAAGCAAUCCGUUU